CCCCAGCCCUGUUUUUGAUAAUCUUGACAGAUUUUAUCCCAAGGCCUCUCACUGCCCGGCAAAUAUUCUACCACUGAGCUCUACCCACAGACCCCAACUGUACUUAUUAAUGCAGUAACAUGGUGUUUCUAUACAUGUAUACAUUAGGUAGUAUUUAAAUCAGGUAAGCAUAUUUAGCUCCACAAACAUUUACCAUUUCUUUAUGGUGAAAACUUCAAAAUCAUUCUAAAUACGUUAUUGUUAUCCUUGAUCACACAAUAAAAUGCCAUUUUAAUCACAACACAUAUCAAGAUGAUUUAUCGCUAUUGAUGUUGACCUUGAUCAACUGGCCCAGGUAGUGCUUGUCAGAGUCCCCCUCUUUUCUUGCUGUAUUCUUUGGAAUAAAGUCACUCGUUCUACUUCAUUGAGGGCAGAGUAUGGAUCAUUUAGAAUACUUCAUGGAAGAUUUGUCUCUUCUCCCCCAUUUAUUUAUUUAUUCAGUUAUUUAAGUGUUUAUUUUGGUACUGGAGAUUGAACUCAGGGGUUCUUAACCAUUGAAUCACAUCCCAGCUCUUUCUUUAAAUAUUUUUAGUUGUAAAUAGACACAAACCUUUAUUUGGUUUAUUUAUUUUUAUGUGGUGCUGAGGCUCAAACCCAGUGCCUCACAUGUGUGAUGCAAGCGCUCUACCACUGAGCCACAAUGCCAGCUCCCUUUUUAGUUUUUAUUUUGAGACAGGAUCUCACUAAGUUGCUGAGGUUGGCCUCAAACUUGCAAUCUUCCUGCCUCAGCCUCCUGAGUCACUGGGAUUAGAGGCAUGCAUCAACACACCCAGCUCUCAAUCAUUUAUUUAUAUUACUAUGGACUCAUGGACAUUUAUUUUGCAAUUGAGACUAAAAUAUGGUGCUAUUUUAUUAUUCUCAAGUUCUAAAUUAUUUCACUUAUUUAUAUAUGUAUAUAUAUGUAUGUGCAUACUGGGAAUUGAACCCAGCGACAGGUGACAGUUUACCACUGAGCUACAUCCCCACUAAAUUUAUUUUUUAUUUUGAGUCAGUGCCUUGCUAAGUUGCUGAGAACCUUGCUUAUUUAUUGAGGCUGGCCUCAAACUUGUGAUCCUCUUGCCUCAACCACCCUAGACAGUGAGAUUGUAGGCCUAUGCCACCAAACCCAGCUUUUACAGUUUUAAAUUGGCUCCUGUGGCCACACAUAGUGGCACAUGCCUGUAAUCCCAGGAGGCCGAGGCAGGAGAAUUGCAAGUUAGAGGCCAGCUUCACCAAUUAAGCAAGGUCCCUAAGCAAUUUAGGAAGACCAUGUCUCAAAUAAAAAAUAAAAGGACUGGAGAUGGAGCUCAAUGGUAGAGGCACUUGG
RNAcentral lists this long non-coding RNA (1345 nucleotides) under Marmota monax (woodchuck). Lineage: Eukaryota; Metazoa; Chordata; Mammalia; Rodentia; Sciuridae. The record is from RNAcentral.